UACGUAGGUGGCAAGCGUUGUCCGGAUUUACUGGGCGUAAAGAGCGCGCAGGCGGUCGUUCAAGUCGCGUGUGAAAGCCCCCAGCUCAACUGGGGAGGGUCACGCGAUACUGAUCGACUCGAAGGCAGGAGAGGGUAGUGGAAUUCCCGGUGUAGAGGUGAAAUUCGUAGAUAUCGGGAGGAACACCGGUGGCGAAGGCGGCGACCUGGGUGGAUACUGACGCUGAGGCGCGAAAGCGUGGGGAGCAAACAGG
Molecule: ribosomal RNA, 253 nt
Filed under: uncultured bacterium
Lineage: Bacteria
Description: partial 16S ribosomal RNA
Rfam family: Bacterial small subunit ribosomal RNA
Source: RNAcentral